Molecule: ribosomal RNA, 253 nt
Filed under: uncultured bacterium
Lineage: Bacteria
Description: partial 16S ribosomal RNA
Rfam family: Bacterial small subunit ribosomal RNA
Source: RNAcentral
UACGUAGGGGGCAAGCGUUGUCCGGAAUCAUUGGGCGUAAAGCGCGCGUAGGCGGCCCUGUAAGUCCGUUGUGAAAGUCAAAGGCUCAACCUUUGAAAGCCGAUGGAUACUGCAGGGCUAGAGUCCGGAAGAGGCGAGUGGAAUUCCUGGUGUAGCGGUGGAAUGCGCAGAUAUCAGGAGGAACACCGGUGGCGAAGGCGGAUCUCUGGGCCUGUCCUGACGCUGAGGCGCGAAAGCUAGGGGAGCGAACAGG